GCCUCCGUGGCGCAACGGACUAGCGCACCGGUUUUCUAAUCCGAUGGUUGCCGGUUCGAAUCCGGCCGGGGGCAC
RNAcentral lists this transfer RNA (75 nucleotides) under Mycobacteroides abscessus subsp. abscessus. Its description in RNAcentral is "tRNA-Arg(tct)". It matches the Rfam family "tRNA". Rfam says of the family: Transfer RNA (tRNA) molecules are approximately 80 nucleotides in length. Their secondary structure includes four short double-helical elements and three loops (D, anti-codon, and T loops). Lineage: Bacteria; Bacillati; Actinomycetota; Actinomycetes; Mycobacteriales; Mycobacteriaceae. The record is from RNAcentral.